This 305-nucleotide ribosomal RNA is filed under the name uncultured bacterium. RNAcentral's name for it is "bacterial SSU rRNA". It matches the Rfam family "Bacterial small subunit ribosomal RNA", at positions 335 to 657 of the family's 1533-position model. The record is from RNAcentral.
ACGCCUACGGGACGCAGCAGUGGGGAAUAUUGCACAAUGGGGGAAACCCUGAUGCAGCAACGCCGCGUGAGUGAAGAAGUAUUUCGGUAUGUAAAGCUCUAUCAGCAGGGAAGAAGAUGACGGUACCUGAAUAAGAAGCCCAGGCUAACUACGUGCCAGCAGCCGCGGUAAUACGAAGGGGGCAAGCGUUAUCCGGAUUUACUGGGUGUAAAGGGAGUGCAGACGGCAGUGCAAGUCUGGAGUGAAAGCCCGGGGCCCAACCCCGGAACUGCUCUGGAAACGGUGCGGCUAGAGUACUGGAGGGG